This 121-nucleotide transfer RNA is filed under the name Chloroflexota bacterium. Its description in RNAcentral is "tRNA-OTHER". It matches the Rfam family "tRNA". Rfam says of the family: Transfer RNA (tRNA) molecules are approximately 80 nucleotides in length. Their secondary structure includes four short double-helical elements and three loops (D, anti-codon, and T loops). Further hydrogen bonds mediate the characteristic L-shaped molecular structure. tRNAs have two regions of fundamental functional importance: the anti-codon, which is responsible for specific mRNA codon recognition, and the 3' end, to which the tRNAs corresponding amino acid is attached (by aminoacyl-tRNA synthetases). tRNAs cope with the degeneracy of the genetic code in two manners: having more than one tRNA (with a specific anti-codon) for a particular amino acid; and 'wobble' base-pairing, i.e. permitting non-standard base-pairing at the 3rd anti-codon position. Lineage: Bacteria; Bacillati; Chloroflexota. The record is from RNAcentral.
GAGAACGUAGCUCAACGGCAGAGCAGCUUAAAAUGCCGUCCCCAUCUUUGCCCUGUGGGGGCCGUAGGUGGAUGGUUACCUUGUACGGAGCGGGUUGCAGGUUCGAUUCCUGCCGUUCUCA